UAAUAAGAAGUAAAUUAUUUACAUUUAGUUUCGACCUAAAAUUUUGAUACUUAUAUCCUUAUUUU
RNAcentral lists this transfer RNA (65 nucleotides) under Curculionoidea sp. 15 KM-2017. RNAcentral describes it as "tRNA-Arg". Lineage: Eukaryota; Metazoa; Arthropoda; Insecta; Coleoptera. The record is from RNAcentral.